RNAcentral lists this ribosomal RNA (301 nucleotides) under uncultured bacterium. RNAcentral describes it as "partial 16S ribosomal RNA". It matches the Rfam family "Bacterial small subunit ribosomal RNA", at positions 509 to 808 of the family's 1533-position model. The record is from RNAcentral.
CAGUCGCCACGGUAAUACGUAGGUGGCAAGCGUUGUCCGGAAUUACUGGGCGUAAAGCGCGCGCAGGCGGAUAGGUCAGUCUGUCUUAAAAGUUCGGGGCUUAACCCCGUGAUGGGAUGGAAACUGCCAAUCUAGAGUAUCGGAGAGGAAAGUGGAAUUCCUAGUGUAGCGGUGAAAUGCGUAGAUAUUAAGAAGAACACCAGUGGCGAAGGCGACUUUCUGGACGAAAACUGACGCUGAGGCGCGAAAGCCAGGGGAGCGAACGGGAUUAGAUACCCCUGUAGUCCCUGUCUCUUAUACC